This 441-nucleotide ribosomal RNA is filed under the name uncultured bacterium. RNAcentral's name for it is "partial 16S ribosomal RNA". It matches the Rfam family "Bacterial small subunit ribosomal RNA", at positions 338 to 795 of the family's 1533-position model. The record is from RNAcentral.
CCUACGGGCGGCAGCAGUGGGGGAUAUUGCACAAUGGGGGGAACCCUGAUGCAGCGACGCCGCGUGGGUGAAGGAGUGCUUCGGCAUGUAAAGCCCUAUCGGCAGGGAAGAAGCAAGACGGUACCUGACUAAGAAGCCCCGGCUAACUACGUGCCAGCAGCCGCGGUAAUACGUAGGGGGCGAGCGUUAUCCGGAUUCACUGGGUGUAAAGGGAGCGUAGACGGCCAUGCAAGCCAGGGGUGAAAGCCCGGGGCCCAACCCCGGGACCGCCCUUGGAACUGUGCGGCUAGAGUGCGGGAGGGGCAGGCGGAAUUCCUGGUGUAGCGGUGAAAUGCGUAGAUAUCAGGAGGAACACCGGCGGCGAAGGCGGCCUGCUGGACUGCGACUGACGUUGAGGCUCGAAAGCGUGGGGAGCGAACAGGAUUAGAUACCCGGGUAGUC